UGGGGAAUCUUCCGCAAUGGGCGAAAGCCUGACGGAGCAACGCCGCGUGAGUGAUGACGGCCUUCGGGUUGUAAAGCUCUGUGAUCGGGGACGAACGGUCAGCAGACGAAUACUCUGCUGAAGUGACGGUACCCGAAUAGCAAGCCACGGCUAACUACGUGCCAGCAGCCGCGGUAAUACGUAGGUGGCAAGCGUUGUCCGGAAUUAUUGGGCGUAAAGCGCGCGCAGGCGGCGCGCCAAGUCAGCGGUCAAAGUUCCGGGCUCAACCCGGUGUCGCCGUUGAAACUGGCGUGCUCGAGUGCGUGCGAGGAAGGCGGAAUGCGUUGUGUAGCGGUGAAAUGCAUAGAUAUGACGCAGAACUCCGAUUGCGAAGGCAGCUUUCCAGCG
Molecule: ribosomal RNA, 387 nt
Filed under: uncultured Dialister sp.
Lineage: Bacteria; Bacillati; Bacillota; Negativicutes; Veillonellales; Veillonellaceae
Description: bacterial SSU rRNA
Rfam family: Bacterial small subunit ribosomal RNA
Source: RNAcentral